CCGUUGGCUUGCAAAAACACGACCGUCGUGCGCGUGAUCGAACGCUGCCGGGGAGGCGCUGCCGCCUCGGCACAACGGCCCGGCCCUCGCGCCCUCGGGUCGCGUUGGUCGUGUGCCGAAUACGGCGCGGGCUGACGCCAAGGAACACGAGACGCUGAGGCGGCGGGCGGAGCGCCGAGGCGCACGGCCCGCUGCCGACGCAAAGAAAAAAC
This 212-nucleotide unclassified non-coding RNA is filed under the name Machaerina glomerata. Lineage: Eukaryota; Viridiplantae; Streptophyta; Magnoliopsida; Poales; Cyperaceae. The record is from RNAcentral.